Molecule: long non-coding RNA, 176 nt
Organism: Solea senegalensis (Senegalese sole)
Lineage: Eukaryota; Metazoa; Chordata; Actinopteri; Pleuronectiformes; Soleidae
Exons: 3
Source: RefSeq, a predicted model, not a curated record
GUCACACUUGACCAGAGAUGAACGCUGGAUCAGAGGACUCCAUGUUGGACACCACGACCUGGUGAUGACCUAGCCCAAGAUGAAAUGGCCCUUCUACGACGAGGACUUGGCCCAAGAUGAACCCUCUUUUCCACAUGAUGUCUUCAGAUGUUGGACCUUGCCAAACUGUACACAUG